RNAcentral lists this small nucleolar RNA (103 nucleotides) under Nannospalax galili (Upper Galilee mountains blind mole rat). RNAcentral describes it as "Small nucleolar RNA U13 (ENSNGAG00000003944.1)". It matches the Rfam family "Small nucleolar RNA U13". Lineage: Eukaryota; Metazoa; Chordata; Mammalia; Rodentia; Spalacidae. The record is from Rfam by way of RNAcentral.
AUCCUUUUGUGGUUCAUAAGUGUGAUGAUUGGGUGUUCACAUGCAUGCGUGACAUGUGCCACCCUCAAACCUUGUUAUGCACCGGCACAUUACCCAUCUGACA